Molecule: ribosomal RNA, 235 nt
Filed under: uncultured Actinomycetales bacterium
Lineage: Bacteria; Bacillati; Actinomycetota; Actinomycetes; Actinomycetales
Description: partial 16S ribosomal RNA
Rfam family: Bacterial small subunit ribosomal RNA
Source: RNAcentral
UGGCGAACGGGUGAGUAACACGUGGGUGAUCUGCCUUGCACUCUGGGAUAAGCUUGGGAAACUGGGUCUAAUACCGGAUAGGAACCGUCUUUAGUGUGGUGGUUGGAAAGUUUUUUCGGUGCAAGAUGAGCUCGCGGCCUAUCAGCUUGUUGGUGGGGUAAUGGCCUACCAAGGCGUCGACGGGUAGCCGGCCUGAGAGGGUGUACGGCCAUAUUGGGACUGAGAUACGGCCCAG